UUGAUUCCUUUGGGAAAGAGGACUAUUAUUCAAGAAAAGUUCUCUACAACUGGAGGAACUACCUUAAAAGGAUGGAGAGAAGGGGCUGAGGCAUGGCAGGUGGAGACUGUGCACCACAAUAAACAGCAGGAUGCCAGUAGCUGCAGAGUUUUAGUUAUGAAGUUUGCAGAAAACUUCCUCACUGAGGAAUCCACAGAGGUCAUCACCACAGCAGAGCCUUUGCAUGAAUACA
Molecule: long non-coding RNA, 232 nt
Organism: Cololabis saira (Pacific saury)
Lineage: Eukaryota; Metazoa; Chordata; Actinopteri; Beloniformes; Belonidae
Exons: 3
Source: RefSeq, a predicted model, not a curated record